GACGAACGCUGGCGGCGUGCUUAACACAUGCAAGUCGAACGGAAAGGCCCUGCUUUUGUGGGGUGCUCGAGUGGCGAACGGGUGAGUAACACGUGAGUAACCUGCCCUUGACUUUGGGAUAACUUCAGGAAACUGGGGCUAAUACCGGAUAGGAGCUCCUGCUGCAUGGUGGGGGUUGGAAAGUUUCGGCGGUUGGGGAUGGACUCGCGGCUUAUCAGCUUGUUGGUGGGGUAGUGGCUUACCAAGGCUUUGACGGGUAGCCGGCCUGAGAGGGUGACCGGACAAAUUGGGACUGAGCUACGGCCCAGACUCCUACGGGAGGCAGCAGUGGGGAAUAUUGCACAAUGGGCGGAAGCCUGAUGCAGCAACGCCGCGUGCGGGAUGACGGCCUUCGGGUUGUAAACCGCUUUCGCCUGUGACGAAGCGUGAGUGACGGUAAUGGGUAAAGAAGCACCGGCUAACUACGUG
This 468-nucleotide ribosomal RNA is filed under the name uncultured bacterium. RNAcentral's name for it is "partial 16S ribosomal RNA". It matches the Rfam family "Bacterial small subunit ribosomal RNA", at positions 28 to 507 of the family's 1533-position model. The record is from RNAcentral.